CCUACGGGUGGCUGCAGUAGGGAAUCUUCCACAAUGGGCGCAAGCCUGAUGGAGCAAUACCGCGUGUGUGAAGAAGGCCUUCGGCUCGUAAAGUUCUGUCGUCGGAGAAGAACGUGGUAGAGAGUAUCUGUUCACGCAUUGACGGUACCCGCCGAGAAAGUCCCGGCUAACUCCGUGCCAGCAGCCGCGGUAAUACGGAGGGUGCAAGCGUUAUCCGGAUUUACUGGGCGUAAAGCGCGCGCAGGCGGUUGCUUAGGUCUGAUGUGAAAGCCUUCGGCUCAACCGAGGAAGUGCAUCGGAAACCGGGAGGCUUGAGUGCAGAAGAGGGCGGUAGAAUUCCAGGUGUAGCGGUGGAAUGCGUAGAUAUAUGGAGGAACACCAGUGGCGAAGGCGGCUGUCUGGACGAAGACUGACGCUCAGGUUCGAAAGCAUGGGGAGCGAACAGGAUUAGAUACCCGAGUAGUC
Molecule: ribosomal RNA, 465 nt
Filed under: uncultured bacterium
Lineage: Bacteria
Description: partial 16S ribosomal RNA
Rfam family: Bacterial small subunit ribosomal RNA
Source: RNAcentral